Molecule: ribosomal RNA, 468 nt
Filed under: uncultured bacterium
Lineage: Bacteria
Description: partial 16S ribosomal RNA
Rfam family: Bacterial small subunit ribosomal RNA
Source: RNAcentral
GACGAACGCUGGCGGCGUGCUUAACACAUGCAAGUCGAACGGAAAGGCCCUGCUUUUGUGGGGUGCUCGAGUGGCGAACGGGUGAGUAACACGUGAGUAACCUGCCCUUGACUUUGGGAUAACUUCAGGAAACUGGGGCUAAUACCGGAUAGGAGCUCCUGCUGCAUGGUGGGGGUUGGAAAGUUUCGGCGGUUGGGGAUGGACUCGCGGCUUAUCAGCUUGUUGGUGGGGUAGUGGCUUACCAAGGCUUUGACGGGUAGCCGGCCUGAGAGGGUGACCGGCCACAUGGGGACUGAGAUACGGCCCAGACGCCUACGGGAGGCAGCAGUGGGGAAUAUUGCACAAUGGGCGGAAGCCUGAUGCAGCAACGCCGCGUGCGGGAUGACGGCCUUCGGGUUGUAAACCGCUUUCGCCGGUGACGAAGCGUGAGUGACGGUAAUGAGUAAAGAAGCACCGGCUAACUACGUG